RNAcentral lists this ribosomal RNA (121 nucleotides) under Fervidobacterium pennivorans. Its description in RNAcentral is "partial 23S ribosomal RNA". The record is from RNAcentral. Lineage: Bacteria; Thermotogati; Thermotogota; Thermotogae; Thermotogales; Fervidobacteriaceae.
GAUAGUGUUAACUUGUAGUGAUGAAAGAGUGUAAGUGUGAAAGAAUGAGAUUGAUAUUACCAUUGUGCGUUUUCCAAAGAUUCUUCACUACACAAAAUCCUUGAAUAUAUUUCGCUAAAUU